RNAcentral lists this unclassified non-coding RNA (222 nucleotides) under plant metagenome. RNAcentral's name for it is "partial contains small subunit ribosomal RNA, internal transcribed spacer 1, and 5.8S ribosomal RNA". The record is from RNAcentral.
UCUCCGUAGGUGAACCUGCGGAGGGAUCAUUACAGAGUUCAUGCACUCACGAGUAGAUCUCCCACCCUGUGUUAUUAUACUUUGUUGCUUUGGCAGCCCGCCCGCGUGCGCUACCGGCUCCAGCGGGUAAGUGCCUGCCAGAGGACCCCAAACUCUGAAUAUUUUAUUUUCUGUAUACUAUAUAAUAGUUUAAAACUUUCAACAACGGAUCUCUUGGUUCUG